GAAAGUAAUAAAGAGCGUAUGGGGGAUGCCUAGGCUCUUGGAGGCGAAGAAGGACGUGGUAAGCUGCGAAAAGUCGCGGGGAUUUGCAAACGAGAAUUGAUCCGCGAAUAUCCGAAUGGGACAACCCGGCAGGCAGAAGGCCUGUCACCCAGCAAUGGGGGCUAACCCUCUGAACUGAAACAUCUAAGUAGGAGGAGGAGAAGAAAGAAACAUCGAUUUCCAAAGUAGCGGCGAGCGAAAUGGAAGGAGCCCAAACCGGUAUUGUUACGGCAAUGCCGGGGUUAUAGGACUGCGAGAUUCGAAGGACAAAGAACUGGAAAGAUUUGGAAAAGUCGACCAUAGAGAGUGAAAGUCUCGUACAGGUAAUUGAGUUCAAAGAUAGCAGUAUCCUGAGUAUGGCGGGACACGAGGAAUCCAGUCAGAAUUUGCCGGGACCACCCGGUAAGGCUAAAUACUCCCAAGAGACCGAUAGUGAACCAGUACUGUGAAGGAAAGGUGAAAAGAACCCCGAACAGGGGAGUGAAAAAGAACCUGAAACCAUACGCUUACAACCUGUCGGAGCGGCUUCGUGCCGUGACGGCGUGCCUAUUGAAUAAUGAGCCUACGAGUUACUAAUCACUGGCGAGGUUAAGUGCUAGGAAGCACGGAGCCGAAGCGAAAGCGAGUCUGAACAGGGCGUUUAGUCAGUGGUUGUAGACGCGAAACCUUGCGAUCUACCCUUGAGCAGGAUGAAGGUUGGGUAAAGCCAACUGGAGGUCCGAACGAAUAAGCGUUGAAAAGCUUCUCGAUGACUUGAGGGUAGGAGUGAAAGGCCAAUCAAGCUGGGAAAUAGCUCGUACUCCCCGAAAUGCCUUUAGGGGCAGCGUUGUAAUAAAGAGUCUACUGGAGGUAGAGCUACUGAUUGGAUGCGGGGGCUUCACCGCCUACCAAAUCCCGACAAACUCCGAAUGCCAGUAGUAUGAUUUACAGCAGUGAGCCACCGGGUGCUAAUGUCCGGUGACAAAAGAGGAACAACUCAGACCAGCAACUAAGGUCCCCAAGCGUAUGCUAAGUUGAACUAACGAUGUUUUGUUGCAUAGACAGCUAGGAUGUUAGCUUGGAAGCAGCUAUUCAUUCAAAGAGUGCGUAACAGCUCACUAGUCGAGCGACAAAGCGUGGAUAAUAAACGGGCAUCAAGCAUACCACCGAAGUUCUGGGCGCGAAAGCGCGGUAGGGGAGCAUUCCAUUCAGCGUCGAAGCAGCGUCGUGAGAUGUUGUGGAGCGUAUGGAAAAGCAAAUGUAGGCAUGAGUAACGAUAAUGCGGGAGAGUAACCCGCACACCGCAAGACCAAGGUUUCCUGAUCAACGCUAAUCGGAUCAGGGUUAGUCGGGUCCUAAGGGUAAGCCGAACGGCGAUCUCGAUGGAUAAUCGGUUAAUAUUCCGAUACUGACAUAUACCUCGAUGGAGAGACGAAAUCGCGUAAGUACCGCCUCCUGACGGAAUAGGAGGUUAAAGGGCGUAUGUAUAGGGGCAGAUUAAGAGUCAGUCCUUGCUGAAACCCGACAGUACAGAGAGCCUACGGGCAAUUUGAUAGUGUACCCAAGCAUGUUUCCGAGAAAAUCUUCUAAGUUAUAGUAUAUGUCACCCGUACCGUAAACCGACACAGGUGGUCGAGGAGAGUAUCCUAAGGUGCUCGAGUGAAUCACGGUUAAGGAACUAGGCAAAUUAACCCCGUAACUUCGGGAAAAGGGGUCCCUACGCGAGUAGGGCGCAGCGAAGAGGUCCAGGCGACUGUUUAUCAAAAACACAGGGCUCUGCAAAUUCGAAAGAAGAAGUAUAGGGCCUGACACCUGCCCGGUGCUGGAAGGUUAAGAGGGGAUGUCAUCGCAAGAGAAGCAUUGAAUCGAAGCCCCAGUAAACGGCGGCCGUAACUAUAACGGUCCUAAGGUAGCGAAAUUCCUUGUCGGGUAAGUUCCGACCUGCACGAAUGGUGUAACGAUCUGGACACUGUCUCAAC
RNAcentral lists this ribosomal RNA (1997 nucleotides) under gut metagenome. RNAcentral's name for it is "bacterial LSU rRNA". It matches the Rfam family "Bacterial large subunit ribosomal RNA", at positions 1 to 2025 of the family's 2925-position model. The record is from RNAcentral.